Molecule: ribosomal RNA, 490 nt
Filed under: uncultured bacterium
Lineage: Bacteria
Description: partial 16S ribosomal RNA
Rfam family: Bacterial small subunit ribosomal RNA
Source: RNAcentral
AUUGAACGCUGGCGGCAGGCCUAACACAUGCAAGUCGAAUGGUGACAGGAAACAGCUUGCUGUUUCGCUGACGAGUGGCGGACGGGUGAGUAAUGUCUGGGAAACUGCCUGAUGGAGGGGGAUAACUACUGGAAACGGUAGCUAAUACCGCAUAACGUCGCAAGACCAAAGAGGGGGACCUUCGGGCCUCUUGCCAUCAGAUGUGCCCAGAUGGGAUUAGCUAGUAGGUGGGGUAACGGCUCACCUAGGCGACGAUCCCUAGCUGGUCUGAGAGGAUGACCAGCCACACUGGAACUGAGACACGGUCCAGACUCCUACGGGAGGCAGCAGUGGGGAAUAUUGCACAAUGGGCGCAAGCCUGAUGCAGCCAUGCCGCGUGUAUGAAGAAGGCCUUCGGGUUGUAAAGUACUUUCAGCGGGGAGGAAGGGAGUAAAGUUAAUACCUUUGCUCAUUGACGUUACCCGCAGAAGAAGCACCGGCUAACUCCGUG